GACGAACGCUGGCGGCGUGCUUAACACAUGCAAGUCGAACGGUGAAGGGACCGGUUUUUGCUGGUUCUGGAUGAGUGGCGCACGGGUGAGUAACACGUGAGUAACCUGCCCCCUUCUUCUGGAUAACCGCAUGAAAGUGUGGCUAAUACGGGAUAUUCUGCGCCUGCUGCAUGGUGGGUGUGGGAAAGAUAUUGUUUCGGUGGGGGAUGGGCUCGCGGCCUAUCAGCUUGUUGGUGGGGUGAUGGCCUACCAAGGCGGUGACGGGUAGCCGGCCUGAGAGGGUGGACGGUCACACUGGGACUGAGACACGGCCCAGACUCCUACGGGAGGCAGCAGUGGGGAAUAUUGCACAAUGGGCGCAAGCCUGAUGCAGCGACGCCGCGUGAGGGAUGGAGGACUUCGGGUUGUAAACCUCUUUCGCCAGUGAAGCAGGCCUGUCCCUUUUGUGGGUGGGUUGACGGUAGCUGGAUAAGAAGCGCCGGCUAACUACGUG
RNAcentral lists this ribosomal RNA (493 nucleotides) under uncultured bacterium. RNAcentral's name for it is "partial 16S ribosomal RNA". It matches the Rfam family "Bacterial small subunit ribosomal RNA", at positions 28 to 507 of the family's 1533-position model. The record is from RNAcentral.